Molecule: ribosomal RNA, 550 nt
Filed under: soil bacterium LM2-P1-32
Lineage: Bacteria
Description: bacterial SSU rRNA
Rfam family: Bacterial small subunit ribosomal RNA
Source: RNAcentral
UGGGGAAUAUUGGACAAUGGGGGGAACCCUGAUCCAGCCAUGCCGCGUGUGUGAAGAAGGCCUUUUGGUUGUAAAGCACUUUAAGCGAGGAGGAGGCUACUCUAGUUAAUACCUGGGGAUAGUGGACGUUACUCGCAGAAUAAGCACCGGCUAACUCUGUGCCAGCAGCCGCGGUAAUACAGAGGGUGCGAGCGUUAAUCGGAUUUACUGGGCGUAAAGCGUGCGUAGGCGGCUUUUUAAGUCGGAUGUGAAAUCCCUGAGCUUAACUUAGGAAUUGCAUUCGAUACUGGGAAGCUAGAGUAUGGGAGAGGAUGGUAGAAUUCCAGGUGUAGCGGUGAAAUGCGUAGAGAUCUGGAGGAAUACCGAUGGCGAAGGCAGCCAUCUGGCCUAAUACUGACGCUGAGGUACGAAAGCAUGGGGAGCAAACAGGAUUAGAUACCCUGGUAGUCCAUGCCGUAAACGAUGUCUACUAGCCGUUGGGGCCUUUGAGGCUUUAGUGGCGCAGCUAACGCGAUAAGUAGACCGCCUGGGGAGUACGGUCGCAAGACUA